This 468-nucleotide ribosomal RNA is filed under the name uncultured bacterium. RNAcentral describes it as "partial 16S ribosomal RNA". It matches the Rfam family "Bacterial small subunit ribosomal RNA", at positions 28 to 507 of the family's 1533-position model. The record is from RNAcentral.
GACGAACGCUGGCGGCGUGCUUAACACAUGCAAGUCGAACGGAAAGGCCCUGCUUUUGUGGGGUGCUCGAGUGGCGAACGGGUGAGUAACACGUGAGUAACCUGCCCUUGACUUUGGGAUAACUUCAGGAAACUGGGGCUAAUACCGGAUAGGAGCUCCUGCUGCAUGGUGGGGGUUGGAAAGUUUCGGCGGUUGGGGAUGGACUCGCGGCUUAUCAGCUUGUUGGUGGGGUAGUGGUUUACCAAGGCUUUGACGGGUAGCCGGCCUGAGAGGGUGACCGGCCACAUUGGGACUGAGAUACGGCCCAGACUCCUACGGGAGGCAGCAGUGGGGAAUAUUGCACAAUGGGCGGAAGCCUGAUGCAGCAACUCCGCGUGCGGGAUGACGGCCUUCGGGUUGUAAACCGCUUUCGCCUGUGACGAAGCGUGAGUGACGGUAAUGGGUAAAGAAGCACCGGCUAACUACGUG